GAUGAACGCUGGCGGCGUGCCUAAUACAUGCAAGUCGAGCGAACGGACGAGAAGCUUGCUUCUCUGAUGUUAGCGGCGGACGGGUGAGUAACACGUGGAUAACCUACCUAUAAGACUGGGAUAACUUCGGGAAACCAGAGCUAAUACCGGAUAAUAUUUUGAACCGCAUGGUUCAAAAGUGAAAGACGGUCUUGCUGUCACUUAUAGAUGGAUCCGCGCUGCAUUAGCUAGUUGGUAAGGUAACGGCUUACCAAGGCAACGAUGCAUAGCCGACCUGAGAGGGUGAUCGGCCACACUGGAACUGAGACACGGUCCAGACUCCUACGGGAGGCAGCAGUAGGGAAUCUUCCGCAAUGGGCGAAAGCCUGACGGAGCAACGCCGCGUGAGUGAUGAAGGUCUUCGGAUCGUAAAACUCUGUUAUUAGGGAAGAACAUAUGUGUAAGUAACUGUGCACAUCUUGACGGUACCUAAUCAGAAAGCCACGGCUAACUACGUG
Molecule: ribosomal RNA, 497 nt
Filed under: uncultured bacterium
Lineage: Bacteria
Description: partial 16S ribosomal RNA
Rfam family: Bacterial small subunit ribosomal RNA
Source: RNAcentral